RNAcentral lists this transfer RNA (76 nucleotides) under Candidatus Thorarchaeota archaeon. Its description in RNAcentral is "tRNA-Thr". It matches the Rfam family "tRNA". Rfam says of the family: Transfer RNA (tRNA) molecules are approximately 80 nucleotides in length. Their secondary structure includes four short double-helical elements and three loops (D, anti-codon, and T loops). Further hydrogen bonds mediate the characteristic L-shaped molecular structure. tRNAs have two regions of fundamental functional importance: the anti-codon, which is responsible for specific mRNA codon recognition, and the 3' end, to which the tRNAs corresponding amino acid is attached (by aminoacyl-tRNA synthetases). tRNAs cope with the degeneracy of the genetic code in two manners: having more than one tRNA (with a specific anti-codon) for a particular amino acid; and 'wobble' base-pairing, i.e. permitting non-standard base-pairing at the 3rd anti-codon position. Lineage: Archaea; Promethearchaeati; Candidatus Thorarchaeota. The record is from RNAcentral.
GCCUCCGUGGCUUAGUGGCUAUAGCGUCCGCCUCGUAAGCGGAAAGUCGCGGGUCCAAUUCCCGCCGGAGGCUCCA